GAUGAACGCUGGCGGCGUGCCUAAUACAUGCAAGUCGAGCGAACAGACGAGGAGCUUGCUCCUCUGACGUUAGCGGCGGACGGGUGAGUAACACGUGUAUAACCUACCUAUAAGACUGGGAUAACUUCGGGAAACCGGAUCUAAUACCGGAUAAUAUAUUGAACCGCAUGGUUCAAUAGUGAAAGACGGUUUUGCUGUCACUUAUAGAUGGAUCCGCGCCGCAUUAGCUAGUUGUUAAGGUAACGGCUUACCAAGGCGACGAUGCGUAGCCGACCUGAGAGGGUGGUCGGCCACCCUGGAACUGAGACACGGUCCAGACUCCUGCGGGAGGCAGCAGUAGGGAAUCGUCCGCAAUGGGCGAGAGCAUGACAGAGCAACGCCGCGUGAGUGCUGAAGGUCUUCGGAUCGUAAAGCUCUGUUAUUAGGGAAGAACAAAUGUGUAAGUAACUGUGCACGUCUUGACGGUACCUGGUCAAAAAGCCACGGCUAACUACGUG
This 497-nucleotide ribosomal RNA is filed under the name uncultured bacterium. Its description in RNAcentral is "partial 16S ribosomal RNA". It matches the Rfam family "Bacterial small subunit ribosomal RNA", at positions 28 to 507 of the family's 1533-position model. The record is from RNAcentral.